AACGAACGCUGGCGGCAUGCCUAACACAUGCAAGUCGAACGAGACCUUCGGGUCUAGGGGCGCACGGGUGCGUAACGCGUGGGAACCUGCCCUUAGGUUCGGAAUAACUCCCCGUAAGGGGUGCUAAUACCGGAUAAUGUCUUCGGACCAAAGAUUUAUCGCCUGUGGAUGGGCCCGCGUUGGAUUAGCUAGUUGGUAGGGUAAAAGCCUACCAAGGCGACGAUCCAUAGCUGGUCUGAGAGGAUGAUCAGCCACACUGGGACUGAGACACGGCCCACACUCCUACGGGAGGCAGCAGUGGGGAAUAUUGGACAAUGGGCGCAAGCCUGAUCCAGCAAUGCCGCGUGAGUGAUGCAGGCCUUAGGGUUGUAAAGCUCUUUUACCCGGGAUGAUAAUGACAGUACCGGGAGAAUAAGCCCCGGCUAACUCCGUG
This 433-nucleotide ribosomal RNA is filed under the name uncultured bacterium. Its description in RNAcentral is "partial 16S ribosomal RNA". It matches the Rfam family "Bacterial small subunit ribosomal RNA", at positions 29 to 507 of the family's 1533-position model. The record is from RNAcentral.